RNAcentral lists this ribosomal RNA (468 nucleotides) under uncultured bacterium. RNAcentral describes it as "partial 16S ribosomal RNA". It matches the Rfam family "Bacterial small subunit ribosomal RNA", at positions 28 to 507 of the family's 1533-position model. The record is from RNAcentral.
GACGAACGCUGGCGGCGUGCUUAACACAUGCAAGUCGAACGGAAAGGCCCUGCUUUUGUGGGGUGCUCGAGUGGCGAACGGGUGAGUAACACGUGAGUAACCUGCCCUUGACUUUGGGAUAACUUCAGGAAACUGGGGCAAUUACGGGAUAGGAGUUCUGGCGCCAGGGGGGGGGUGGGAAAGUUUCGGCGGUUGGGGAUGGACUCGCGGCUUAUCAGCUUGUUGGUGGGGUAGUGGCUUACCAAGGCUUUGACGGGUAGCCGGCCUGAGAGGGUGACCGGCCACAUUGGGACUGAGAUACGGCCCAGACUCCUACGGGAGGCAGCAGUGGGGAAUAUUGCACAAUGGGCGGAAGCCUGAUGCAGCAACGCCGCGUGCGGGAUGACGGCCUUCGGGUUGUAAACCGCUUUCGCCUGUGACGAAGCGUGAGUGACGGUAAUGGGUAAAGAAGCACCGGCUAACUACGUG